AUGCAAGUCGAGCGGUAAGGCCCUUCGGGGUACACGAGCGGCGAACGGGUGAGUAACACGUGGGUGAUCUGCCUCGCACUCUGGGAUAAGCCUGGGAAACUGGGUCUAAUACCGGAUAUGACCACUGAUCGCAUGGUUGGUGGUGGAAAGAUUUAUCGGUGCGAGAUGGGCCCGCGGCCUAUCAGCUUGUUGGUGGGGUAAUGGCCUACCAAGGCGACGACGGGUAGCCGACCUGAGAGGGUGACCGGCCACACUGGGACUGAGACACGGCCCAGACUCCUACGGGAGGCAGCAGUGGGGAAUAUUGCACAAUGGGCGAAAGCCUGAUGCAGCGACGCCGCGUGAGGGAUGACGGCCUUCGGGUUGUAAACCUCUUUCGACAGGGACGAAGCGCAAGUGACGGUACCUGUAGAAGAAGCACCGGCCAACUACGUGCCAGCAGCCGCGGUAAUACGUAGGGUGCGAGCGUUGUCCGGAAUUACUGGGCGUAAAGAGCUUGUAGGCGGUUCGUCGCGUCGAUUGUGAAAACUUGCAGCUCAACUGCAAGCUUGCAGUCGAUACGGGCGGACUAGAGUACUUCAGGGGAGACUGGAAUUCCUGGUGUAGCGGUGAAAUGCGCAGAUAUCAGGAGGAACACCGGUGGCGAAGGCGGGUCUCUGGGAAGUAACUGACGCUGAGAAGCGAAAGCGUGGGUAGCGAACAGGAUUAGAUACCCUGGUAGUCCACGCCGUAAACGGUGGGUACUAGGUGUGGGUUUCCUUCCACGGGAUCCGUGCCGUAGCUAACGCAUUAAGUACCCCGCCUGGGGAGUACGGCCGCAAGGCUAAAACUCAAAGGAAUUGACGGGGGCCCGCACAAGCGGCGGAGCAUGUGGAUUAAUUCGAUGCAACGCGAAGAACCUUACCUGGGUUUGACAUACACCAGAAAGCCGUAGAGAUACGGCCCCCCUUGUGGUUGGUGUACAGGUGGUGCAUGGCUGUCGUCAGCUCGUGUCGUGAGAUGUUGGGUUAAGUCCCGCAACGAGCGCAACCCUUAUCUUAUGUUGCCAGCGCGUAAUGGCGGGGACUCGUGAGAGACUGCCGGGGUCAACUCGGAGGAAGGUGGGGACGACGUCAAGUCAUCAUGCCCCUUAUGUCCAGGGCUUCACACAUGCUACAAUGGCCGGUACAGAGGGCUGCGAUACCGUGAGGUGGAGCGAAUCCCUUAAAGCCGGUCUCAGUUCGGAUCGGGGUCUGCAACUCGACCCCGUGAAGUUGGAGUCGCUAGUAAUCGCAGAUCAGCAACGCUGCGGUGAAUACGUUCCCGGGCCUUGUACACACCGCCCGUCACGUCAUGAAAGUCGGUAACACCCGAAGCCGGUGGCCUAACCC
Molecule: ribosomal RNA, 1370 nt
Filed under: Nocardia sp.
Lineage: Bacteria; Bacillati; Actinomycetota; Actinomycetes; Mycobacteriales; Nocardiaceae
Description: bacterial SSU rRNA
Rfam family: Bacterial small subunit ribosomal RNA
Source: RNAcentral